This 19-nucleotide microRNA is filed under the name Corchorus capsularis. RNAcentral's name for it is "sRNA CCACVL1_10882". The record is from RNAcentral. Lineage: Eukaryota; Viridiplantae; Streptophyta; Magnoliopsida; Malvales; Malvaceae.
AUAUUGAUCGAUAUGUGAU